GGACAGUCUUCUCUGCAGACACCAGCCUGGUGUCCUCCUUCAUCCCAGGCUGCCAGGCUAGGCAGGGGGCAGCGGCUGCCCUGGUCCUCACAGCCCUGGCUGCGGGGCUGGUGACAGCCAGAUCCUCAUGCUUCUGUGACCAGAGCGCUGCCUUCAGACACCUCUCUGCUGGCGUGUUCCUGGGUCCAUGAUGGAAGAAGGAAAAGUAUUUUUAAAAGACAAUCUAAAGCUCACACUGUGACUGCAACAUAAAAUGUGUUCACCUGAGGAGACUGCUUUCACCGUGAGUGUGUCACAGAUGGUAGAAACCUCAGAAGGCCACAGUCCAGAGUAGGGGCUCAAUGCAAUGCAAGCUGCUGGAACUGAAUAAAGGUGAAGGUAGGAAGACAGAGAAAGCAGGAAGCUGCGACAGCAGGAAGCUGUGAUGGGGGCAGAAGGUCUCUGAUGGUUCUGGUUUCCUGGGCACCUAGAAUAAGUGUGUCAUCAUUUGUUCUGAAGCUGACUUCUCUGAGCUGGAUGGCACCCUGGACAUCAACCAGCCCUUCACCUUCACGUCACACAGGAGGGACACUGGUCCACAGAGAGGAUGCCUGCUCUGGUCACCAGCUGGAGAGUGGCAGACCUUGGGUACCUGACCUUUGGACUCUGCCACGCAGAGCACUUCCUCAGUCCCUCCUGCUGCCCCUGGCAGGGUGGAGCUGGCAGGGCAGCUGAUCCAGGACCGUCCACUUCCAAGCCAGCAGGAGGAUGGAAAAGCAGAAUGGAGGGGAAACAACCUCCUUUGCAGGGCGUGACUCGGAAGUUGGACACAUCAUUUCCAGCCACAUUCCAUGGACCAGAAUUAGCCCUGUGACCAACUCUGGCUGCCAGAAAGUCUGGGAAAUACAGUCUCUGCUUGGGCGAUCAGGCAGGCAGUCAUAUCUUUGGGAACAUCUCUCACACCCUGGGAACACCUGAGCAGAAACUGAAGGACAUUUAACAGAUUCUCCUCUGUGUCUAAUAAGAAUUGCCCCCAUCAGUCAGGGCUCUCCUAGGUGCUGGGUACAUAGGUCAUCUAUAAACAACCCAGCAAUGGAGAGCACACCAUUCCCAGGCUGCAGAUGCAGAAACUGUGGCUCGGAGAGUUAAGCGUCUUGUUCAGAUUCAGUCAGCUGGUAGAUGGCAGGUCUGGGAUUGAGACCCAGGCCUGGCUGGUCCUGCCAGGACACAGUAUCACAGCUUUGACUGGGGGCUUCUUUUUGUUUACGUAUAUUUUUUAUGCUCAAUGUGCAUUCCUUUUGAAAUACACAGAAAAGGGAAAGAAGCCGGAGUCCUGCCUUGUGUAGGAGGGAUAAGUUAGAGGUGUGCACCGGGAUAAAUCUGCCUCCCGCGCUGGCUCUGGCCCUGGCCCUGAUCCUCCUCCUG
Molecule: long non-coding RNA, 1404 nt
Filed under: Pan troglodytes (chimpanzee)
Lineage: Eukaryota; Metazoa; Chordata; Mammalia; Primates; Hominidae
Description: long non-coding RNA NONPTRT011183
Source: RNAcentral